This 1388-nucleotide long non-coding RNA is filed under the name Homo sapiens (human). RNAcentral describes it as "PREDICTED lncRNA (TCONS_00122920)". The record is from RNAcentral. Lineage: Eukaryota; Metazoa; Chordata; Mammalia; Primates; Hominidae.
UACGGCAGCUUUAGGGAGGUGCUCUGAGACCCGAAACUAGACUCGACUUUAACAGACACAGACGACCCUGAAGGUGAGACUGUCUGCUGGUGGGAUGCUGGAUGGAAAUGUUUUCUUCCAAAUUGUGCUGCACGUUUUUGGCGAGAGCAUGGGGCUGUGCGGCGUCCCCUCCCUGGCGCCCACCUGUGCCCUGCACACUGGCCUGCACUGUGGUGAUCUCGCUUGGCCCCCACCUGAUUCCCGACAUACAGCAGAGGAAGCUUAGGCUCAGGUGGAACAGCCUCAACUGAUUCUGUCCCUGAACUUCCGUACACAGCCCUGGAGUCGUCUUAGAGCCAUGAUUUAUUUAACUGUUCUUUCAUUUUACAGAACAUAAAAUGUAUUGUUUCCAACUUUUUUCCUAUGGUAAAUAAUACUAAAGUAAAUAUCUCUGUGCAUGAAUCUUUUUGUAUAUGUUGGAAUAUCCUUAAGAUAAGGCCCCAGAACUAAAAGUACCCUGUCAAAAGGUGAGCAUUUCCGGUUCCCCUGCUGUGCUUUGCUGCGUUGUUCUCUCCUGCUGCAACGUUCUCACUCCACAAUCCUGGGGCAGGGAGGGGAGGCCCAGCUGAGUUUGGAUCAUAAUCCUGAAAGACACAAUCCCAAGCACCAUAAUGUGGAAUGUUGAAAUCCCUAAAGAUCAAAAUCCCUCAAGUCUAAAAUCCCUGAUAUUUCAGAUGACCACAGCUACAGGGCUAGGUGCACACAAUUAGUAACCGUAGCGAUAUACGUGUACACGUUUCUCUUUUGACUUAUUUCUUUAUGGUCUGUCUUCUUAUAACUGCUACACCCAUGCCGCCGUCGUUAGUUACCUCAGUGUUUAUGCAAAAAUACCUGUUAUCAUUGCCUAUUUUAUUGUGUAAAGUGGCCUAUGAAAUGUUCUGUUGUGUUUUUAUGUUUCUCAAAUACAUACCUUUUAAAAAUGUAAAUAAAUAACAUCGACAUUAUUUUUUCCAGAUUUAUACUUUUGGGAUUUUGAUCUUUGGGAUUUCAGGAUGAGGUAUUCGGAGCUGUGUCUUUGGGGAUGAUGACCGGCUCCUGUGCCGUCCCACCCAUCUUUGCGGCAUGGGACCUUGGCAUCCCCACCUCGGCCCUGGCUCUACCUGACCUCACAAUGGACCAGGCCAACUCAGUCAAUGUGGAGUCAGCAUCAGGUAGACCUGGGGCUGAAACUCAACACUGGUGUUCACCUUGACCUAGCUUCUCUGAGCCUCAAGUUCCUCAUCUGGACACCAGUGGGGUUAGGGGCUGAGGCACAUCAGCACUAAGCAGGAGAGCUCAUCGUUGCCAUGCAUCAGCUGUGGCUCUAGAGCCGAGACGCUCCCAGCCGUGUAGGCUUCCCAGCAGUGCAG